This 1104-nucleotide long non-coding RNA is filed under the name Phasianus colchicus (ring-necked pheasant). RNAcentral's name for it is "lncRNA (ENSPCLG00000022123.1)". The record is from RNAcentral. Lineage: Eukaryota; Metazoa; Chordata; Aves; Galliformes; Phasianidae.
GGAGGGGGAAGGGAAGAGGCACUUACGCCACUCUUAAAAGCAAAGGAAGAGCCUCAGCUAGCUAAGGAAAUGUAACCUCUCCUGGAGAGGUGCCAACCCGGGGGAUGGGUUCUCCUCUGAAAGAUGCUGGAGACAUCUUGUACAAGCUCCCCCCGCAAGCACAGAGUGGAAAAUGUCUCCAUCAGCUGCAAGAAGGGACUCAUGCAGAAGGAAGAAGGCAUGUCUCGUAAAGAAAGAGGGACUUUGCAUCAGAGCUGCGAGGGCAGUGCUGCUGCUUGCUCGGUGCUGGAGCAGGCUUGGGGCCGGCCGUGUUGGCACAGGUAGGCUGGGUUUUUCAGUCAUUUGUCGUUGUCUCUGUGCCCUGCUCCCUUGGGCUGCAGUUUUCUGUGGUCUUCCUUCAGCCAGUGGUUCCCACACUCUCAGCGCUUUUGUCAUGCAGAUGAGCCUUACUCUCCCUCUUCCUUGAACUGCGCUGUACUUGGAAAGCUCUGAGAAACGUUCAUCUCCUGAGGGCAAGAAAUUCCCAAAGCCCCCUGUUAGCAGCCUGUGAUCAAAUCCUGGCAGGCUCUUUGGCUCUCUGUCCUGCUUUCUCUCACUCACCUGACGUUUACCUAUACUUCCUAUUGGUGCUGCAGCAGCUGAAAGGCAUCUGGUCAGUGUCAGCAGUUAUCUGCCUUUUUUCUUCCUACUGUGCCUCGUUACGUAUGCUCACUAACUCAAUUCUGUUUUGAAAGGAAAUAUAUGAGAAAUUAACUGGCAAGGCAUCAGCAGCUGCCAGAACUCCAGGGAAAAAGAAAUCCAUGAGCUAAUGGAGUUAGUGGCAACGCAAACCUGGACGUGAGUACAAAUUGCUUCAGCACAUGUGAUCCUGAAAACAGAGAGAGGGUCAAAGGAACUGGGAAAGCUGGGAGGAAAGCUGGGGUAUUGCUCAUGGUGUAGCACAGCUGAGUAUUUCCACUGCCUCUUAUUUUUUUCUUUGCUUUCUUUCUUUUUUCUUUUUCUUUGGGGAGGAAGGGAGCAGAGUGGUGGGAGGAGGACACGUGACACAGAUGUUCCCUAGCACUGGGGAGACAUUUGUUGUUUUAAGACUAUCCAUCUCUGACC